CCAAUACAGAUGAUAAAAAAUGGGUGAACAAGGAAGGAUGUGGCUAAAAUCCUGCUCCUCUGGGAGCAAAGCAUCCCUCCUUCUUAGGAUUCACAUUUCUAAAUGCUGCUGUGGAGCUCAGGAGCCAGGGAUCAGCUCAACAAUGAAUCUAGACCAUUUCUUUUUUUCACAGCUGAAAAAAUAACAUUUCCUCCUCAUUUGUCACUACUGACAGCGCAUUAGUUACAGCAAUUGUUUUGGAUCAAGGCUGUCACUGCUCUUUCUUCUUCAUAGGUCUUUUGGAAGGAUCAAAUCUGGCCCUGUAGCAUCACUGAGUGGGAGAAAGGGAGUCUUGGACACCAGGGAAUGCUUAAUAUGAUCCAGAUGAAGCUAAAAAUAGCCCUUCCAGAACAACCCCUGUGUGCUCAGUUUUCAGCUGGUGUGGCUGGUUUUGCCUGUAGGCUGUCUCAGUAGUGGUAGCUGUCCUUCCAGCCCCUCCAUCCACCCUCCCACACAGGUCCUACACAAACCACAGAUGAGCUGAGGAUGGGAGGCACCUCUCAGGUGCGCUAUAAGCAGGACAGACAGUGGUGUGGGAUAAAAGACAGGGAACAGCCAUGUUUCAUUCAGGGGGCUGAGUGGAAGAAUGUUUAAUUUGUGUCAGGGCACAGGGAUGAUUUAACUGCUGGGUUUCUCAGUGCUCCCAAAACUGAGGCAGCUGGAACUGAUGACCAAAGCUGAGGCACCUGGAGAACACCAAUACAGACUUGACUCCAUUAAUACAACAGUGAAGCCUUUAUAAAUACUGAUAUGCAAUUUAGGAUGAACCUAGAUGAUUUAAGUUUUUAUUUUAGGAUUUUUCUCUCCAUUUGUGAUGUUGAGCAAGCUGGGAUACCUGUUGCUUGACCUGUCUUCCAUUUUUACACCGAGAUGAUAAAAGUUACGUACCCACUGAGAUAUGGAGACUGUGAAGUGUUCUGGCCAGCAGUGAAAAGGAGUAAAGCAGCUGUGGAUGGAUGUGCACACCGAUGUCCUUCCCUCUGGCUCAUCCUCGUCCUUUGCUGUGCCCCUUCUGCACACCAGAGAGCAGCACUCUGGUUUGCCUGUGAGGUCCCACCAGCCUGCUCACCCAUCCUCCAUGCUGGAGUAUCACUAAGGGAAAAUUUUAUAUCUCUCUGUAGUCCUCUUUUUAUUAUGAUAGAAAACAUUAUCAUAUUGUUUCCUCUGAUAGCUUUUAUAUGAUAGUUUUGACUGGUUUUGUAUAUUUCUAAUAAUUGCAACUGGUGUCUGGCUCCUUUCUAAUAAUAAGAAAAGUAUGUACAGUGACAUAACAAUCCAAAGAAUUCCACAAAUUAUUUCUUUUUCCCUGAAAUUCUGAAGUAAAAUACAAUACUAAAGGUCUCGGUUUAUUUUCUAUCACUUACCCUGCACCUGCAGUCCUACAAAGGGAUGCUUUGGAUAAUGGUAUUUUAUCCCUCAGCCUACUGCAUGUUUUAGUUCUCAGUGCUUCCAGUGAUUCCCAGUUUGGCUUGAGGUUUUGGGUUGGUUUUGGUGGGGUGAUUCUUUUUAGGGUUUUUUUUUUUUUUUUAAUUGCUGCCAUGAGGAUUUCUGAGGUGAGAAAAUUUUCUGCAUAAUAGAGCACAUGUCCACCUUUUCCUUGGCUGUCUUCCUCUGUUAAAAAAUUUCCUAUGGUCUUCAGGAGUGCCCUGGACUACAGUGACACUACUGUUAUUUUCAUUAUGAUAUCACAGAAGAGCCCUAGUCAUGCAUUGCACCACAAACUCAUUUAUGCAAGGACAAAAUUCCUGAUCUAGCUCCAAAAUUGUAUUAACAUUUACACAGGCCAAAUUCUAAAAUUAUUUUUAAAUGGUUUUGUUUAUAAACUGGGCUCUAAAAACCUCUAGUCUUGGGUCAUAACAUGGUAUAGG
Cyanistes caeruleus (blue tit) is the source of this 1907-nucleotide long non-coding RNA. Lineage: Eukaryota; Metazoa; Chordata; Aves; Passeriformes; Paridae. The record is from Ensembl.